This 402-nucleotide ribosomal RNA is filed under the name uncultured bacterium. RNAcentral's name for it is "bacterial SSU rRNA". It matches the Rfam family "Bacterial small subunit ribosomal RNA", at positions 490 to 890 of the family's 1533-position model. The record is from RNAcentral.
GGCCCGGCUAACUACGUGCCAGCAGCCGCGGUAAUACGUAGGGGUCGAGCGUUGUCCGGAGUUACUGGGCGUAAAGCGCAUGCAGGCGGCUCAUUACGCACGGCGUGAAAGCCCCCGGCUUAACCGGGGAGGGUCGUCGUGUACGGGUGAGCUUGAGGGUAUCAGGGGCUGGUGGAAUUCCCGGUGUAGUGGUGAAAUGCGUAGAGAUCGGGAGGAACACCUGUGGCGAAGGCGGCCAGCUGGGAUACACCUGACGCUGAGAUGCGAAGGCGUGGGGAGCGAACGGGAUUAGAUACCCCGGUAGUCCACGCAGUAAACGAUGCAGACUAGGCGUGGGAGGACUUGACCCCUUCCGUGCCGGAGCUAACGCGAUAAGUCUGCCGCCUGGGGAGUACGGUCGCA